CGGCCCCAGACUCCUACGGGAGGCAGCAGUCGGGAAUAUUGGACAAUGGGCGAAAGCUUGAUCCAGCCAUGCCGCGUGUGUGAAGAAGGUCUUCGGAUUGUAAAGCACUUUAAGUUGGGAGGAAGGGCAGUAAGCUAAUACCUUGCUGUUUUGACGUUACCGACAGAAUAAGCACCGGCUAACUCUGUGCCAGCAGCCGCGGUAAUACAGAGGGUGCAAGCGUUAAUCGGAAUUACUGGGCGUAAAGCGCGCGUAGGUGGUUCGUUAAGUUGGAUGUGAAAGCCCCGGGCUCAACCUGGGGACUGCAUCCAAAACUGGCGAGCUAGAGUACGGUAGAGGGUGGUGGAAUUUCCUGUGUAGCGGUGAAAUGCGUAGAUAUAGGGAGGCACACCAGUGGCGAAGGCGACCACCUGGACUGAUACUGACACUGAGGUGCGAAAGCGUGGGGAGCAAACAGGAUUAGAUACCCGGGUAGUCCACGC
This 482-nucleotide ribosomal RNA is filed under the name Pseudomonas putida. RNAcentral describes it as "bacterial SSU rRNA". It matches the Rfam family "Bacterial small subunit ribosomal RNA", at positions 326 to 800 of the family's 1533-position model. The record is from RNAcentral. Lineage: Bacteria; Pseudomonadati; Pseudomonadota; Gammaproteobacteria; Pseudomonadales; Pseudomonadaceae.